Molecule: ribosomal RNA, 115 nt
Filed under: Anolis carolinensis (green anole)
Lineage: Eukaryota; Metazoa; Chordata; Lepidosauria; Squamata; Anolidae
Source: RNAcentral
AUUUACCAACAUAACAUCCUGGUUGUAUCCAAACUGAUAUCAAAAGCUAAGCAGGAUCAUCCUUGAUCAUUACUUGGAUGGUAGACCAAAAGUGAAUAUCAAGGUUUUCUAGAUA